Molecule: ribosomal RNA, 445 nt
Filed under: uncultured bacterium
Lineage: Bacteria
Description: partial 16S ribosomal RNA
Rfam family: Bacterial small subunit ribosomal RNA
Source: RNAcentral
GUGAGGAAUAUUGGACAAUGGGCGCAAGCCUGAUCCAGCCAUGCCGCGUGCAGGAAGACGCAUCUAUGGUGUGUAAACUGCUUUUGUACGGGAAGAAACACUCCCUCGUGAGGGAGCUUGACGGUACCGUAAGAAUAAGGAUCGGCUAACUCCGUGCCAGCAGCCGCGGUAAUACGGAGGAUCCAAGCGUUAUCCGGAAUCAUUGGGUUUAAAGGGUCCGUAGGCGGUUUAAUAAGUCAGUGGUGAAAGCCCAUCGCUCAACGAUGGAACGGCCAUUGAUACUGUUAGACUUGAAUUACCAGGAAGUAACUAGAAUAUGUAGUGUAGCGGUGAAAUGCUUAGAUAUUACAUGGAAUACCAAUUGCGAAGGCAGGUUACUACUUGUGGAUUGACGCUGAUGGACGAAAGCGUGGGGAGCGAACAGGAUUAGAAACCCCGGUAGUCC